This is a small nucleolar RNA of Lepisosteus oculatus (spotted gar), 83 nucleotides long. The record is from Ensembl. NCBI's taxonomy places the organism in Eukaryota, Metazoa, Chordata, Actinopteri, Semionotiformes, Lepisosteidae.
UGCAUCUUUGAUGAUGAUUUGGCUCCCUCUACUGAAUUCUGUGAGGAGGAAAGCCAUCGUUACCCAAUUUUGUCUGAGAUGCA